UGGGUUGUAGCUCAGUGGAAGAGCACUUGCCUAGCAAGUGUGAGGCCCUGGGUUUGAUCCUCAGCACCACAU
RNAcentral lists this transfer RNA (72 nucleotides) under Ictidomys tridecemlineatus (thirteen-lined ground squirrel). Its description in RNAcentral is "Spermophilus tridecemlineatus (thirteen-lined ground squirrel) tRNA". It matches the Rfam family "tRNA". From Rfam's summary of the family: Transfer RNA (tRNA) molecules are approximately 80 nucleotides in length. Their secondary structure includes four short double-helical elements and three loops (D, anti-codon, and T loops). The record is from Rfam by way of RNAcentral. Lineage: Eukaryota; Metazoa; Chordata; Mammalia; Rodentia; Sciuridae.